RNAcentral lists this transfer RNA (77 nucleotides) under Bacillota bacterium. Its description in RNAcentral is "Firmicutes bacterium (anaerobic digester metagenome) tRNA-Arg". It matches the Rfam family "tRNA". From Rfam's summary of the family: Transfer RNA (tRNA) molecules are approximately 80 nucleotides in length. Their secondary structure includes four short double-helical elements and three loops (D, anti-codon, and T loops). Lineage: Bacteria; Bacillati; Bacillota. The record is from RNAcentral.
GCGCCCGUAGCUCAGCUGGAUAGAGUGUCUGACUACGAAUCAGAAGGCCUCAGGUUCGAAUCCUGACGGGCGCGCCA